UAAUCCCUGAGGUGCUCGUAGGAUGAGCUGGUAGUUUUGAGCCAACACAAACACUGCGGGAGCCUAACUCUGGUUAUGGAGUAAACGCCCAGUCGGGACUUAUAAAGUAAUCAGGAGGGCACCCACCUGCCGAGGCAGGUUCAAAACGCUGGCACUACGACAUAUUGGGGUUGUA
RNAcentral lists this non-coding RNA (175 nucleotides) under Clostridia bacterium. Its description in RNAcentral is "6S RNA". It matches the Rfam family "6S / SsrS RNA". Rfam says of the family: E. coli 6S RNA was the first non coding RNA to be sequenced, but its function was unknown until recently. Lineage: Bacteria; Bacillati; Bacillota; Clostridia. The record is from RNAcentral.